GCUUACUUAGUAUAAACAAUACUUAUGACUUCCAAUCAUUAAAUCUUAAUUUACCUUAAGAGAGAGCA
Molecule: transfer RNA, 68 nt
Filed under: Chthonerpeton indistinctum
Lineage: Eukaryota; Metazoa; Chordata; Amphibia; Gymnophiona; Typhlonectidae
Description: tRNA-Gly
Source: RNAcentral